AACAUCGCGCACCUGCGGGAACCUGCGGAAGGAUCAUUACCAAAAAAACAAGCUCUUUGCUUGGGGUCUCCCCCAGCAAGGUUCUAAACCCUUUGUGAACCAAAAAUCUAUACUGCUUCGGCAGCAGGUCUGGUUGAAAGACCUAGCUGUAAGCCUGCCGGUGGCAACCUUAAACUCUUGAAUUUUAAACCUAUUGUCGACCCAUAUUUUUUGAAUAAAAUCAAAACUUUCAACAACGGA
Molecule: unclassified non-coding RNA, 240 nt
Filed under: soil metagenome
Description: partial contains 5.8S ribosomal RNA, internal transcribed spacer 2, and large subunit ribosomal RNA
Source: RNAcentral